CCUACGGGAGGCAGCAGUGAGGAAUAUUGGUCAAUGGGCGCGAGCCUGAACCAGCCAAGUAGCGUGAAGGAUGACGGCCCUACGGGUUGUAAACUUCUUUUAUAAAGGAAUAAAGUGAGGCACGUGUGCCGUUUUGUAUGUACGUUAUGAAUAAGGAUCGGCUAACUCCGUGCCAGCAGCCGCGGUAAUACGGAGGUUCCGAGCGUUCUCCGGAUUUCUUGGGUUUAAAGGGAGCGUAGAGGGGUUGUUAAGUCAGUUGUGAAAGUUUGCGGCUCAACCGUAAAAUUGCAAUUGAUACUGGCAGUCUUGAGUACAGUUGAGGUCGGCGGAAUUCGUUGUGUAGCGG
Molecule: ribosomal RNA, 346 nt
Filed under: uncultured bacterium
Lineage: Bacteria
Description: partial 16S ribosomal RNA
Rfam family: Bacterial small subunit ribosomal RNA
Source: RNAcentral